Molecule: non-coding RNA, 86 nt
Organism: Hydnum rufescens UP504
Lineage: Eukaryota; Fungi; Basidiomycota; Agaricomycetes; Cantharellales; Hydnaceae
Source: the annotation of a GenBank genome assembly
GGUUUCCUGGCCCAAUGGUAAGGCGUCUGACUACGAUUCUAGUGAAUUGUAUCAGGAGUUUGUCGGUUCGAGUCCGGCGGAGAUCA